UUGAAGUUUGGUUUGGAGAAUUUUAGGUAUUAUUUUUUUAUUUUGUUUAAUAGUUUUUUAUUUAUAAAAAUAAGGAGAAUAUAUAAUUGUGUAUAAUAUAUUGUGUUAUGUUAGGUAUGUUGUUGUUAUAUUUUGUUUAUUAUAAUUAGGGAUUAAGUAUUUUAUGUGGUUUAGUUGGUAUAGAAUUUGUUUGUAAUGUGGGAGA
RNAcentral lists this unclassified non-coding RNA (205 nucleotides) under Hevea brasiliensis (rubber tree). Lineage: Eukaryota; Viridiplantae; Streptophyta; Magnoliopsida; Malpighiales; Euphorbiaceae. The record is from RNAcentral.